AGAACGAACGCUGGCGGCAGGCUUAACACAUGCAAGUCGAGCGCCUCGCAAGAGGAGCGGCAGACGGGUGAGUAACACGUGGGAACGUGCCCAAAGGUACGGAACAACUCCGGGAAACUGGAGCUAAUACCGUAUGUGCCCGAAAGGGGAAAGAUUUAUCGCCUUUGGAUCGGCCCGCGUCUGAUUAGCUAGUUGGCGGGGUAAUGGCCCACCAAGGCGACGAUCAGUAGCUGGUCUGAGAGGAUGACCAGCCACAUUGGGACUGAGACACGGCCCAAACUCCUACGGGAGGCAGCAGUGGGGAAUAUUGGACAAUGGGCGCAAGCCUGAUCCAGCCAUGCCGCGUGAGUGAUGAAGGCCUUAGGGUUGUAAAGCUCUUUCGCCGAGGACGAUAAUGACGGUACUCGGAUAAGAAGCCCCAGCUAACUUCGUGCCAGCAGCCGC
RNAcentral lists this ribosomal RNA (444 nucleotides) under uncultured bacterium. RNAcentral describes it as "SSU rRNA". It matches the Rfam family "Bacterial small subunit ribosomal RNA", at positions 26 to 518 of the family's 1533-position model. The record is from RNAcentral.